RNAcentral lists this ribosomal RNA (468 nucleotides) under uncultured bacterium. RNAcentral's name for it is "partial 16S ribosomal RNA". It matches the Rfam family "Bacterial small subunit ribosomal RNA", at positions 28 to 507 of the family's 1533-position model. The record is from RNAcentral.
GACGAACGCUGGCGGCGUGCUUAACACAUGCAAGUCGAACGGAAAGGCCCUGCUUUUGUGGGGUGCUCGAGUGGCGAACGGGUGAGUAACACGUGAGUAACCUGCCCUUGACUUUGGGAUAACUUCAGGAAACUGGGGCUAAUACCGGAUAGGAGCUCCUGCUGCAUGGUGGGGGUUGGAAAGUUUCGGCGGUUGGGGAUGGACUAGCGGCUUAUCAGCUUGUUGGUGGGGUAGUGGCUUACCAAGGCUUUGACGGGUAGCCGGCCUGAGAGGGUGACCGGCCACAUUGGGACUGAGAGACGGCCCAGACUCCUACGGGAGGCAGCAGUGGGGAAUAUUGCACAAUGGGCGGAAGCCUGAUGCAGCAACGCCGCGUGCGGGAUGACGGCCUUCGGGUUGUAAACCGCUUUCGCCUGUGACGAAGCGUGAGUGACGGUAAUGGGUAAAGAAGCACCGGCUAACUACGUG